This 246-nucleotide unclassified non-coding RNA is filed under the name Hevea brasiliensis (rubber tree). Lineage: Eukaryota; Viridiplantae; Streptophyta; Magnoliopsida; Malpighiales; Euphorbiaceae. The record is from RNAcentral.
GCAUGUAUAAGGCCAAUUAGACAAAGUUGGCAGUAGCCAGGAAUAGGCCUGGCCACCAGUUCCAAGCAGGAACUAGCAGUUCAGGCAGCCUAGCCAGGAGAUGAACCGGAACCAGACUGGUUGGCCAAGGUUCUAGCCAGUUCCUUCUCCCAAUCAGUUUCGGUCCAGUUUAAUUCCAAUUUCGGUUCCAGUUUUGGAUGGUUUUGAUUCUGGUUCGAAAACGGUUUGGUCCAUGUUGUAUCUUUU